GGGGGCCUACGGGAGGCAGCAGUGGGGAAUAUUGCACAAUGGGGGGAACCCUGAUGCAGCGACGCCGCGUGGGUGAAGGAGUAUUUCGGUAUGUAAAGCCCUAUCAGCAGGGAAGAACAAUGACGGUACCUGACUAAGAAGCACCGGCUAAAUACGUGCCAGCAGCCGCGGUAAUACGUAUGGUGCAAGCGUUAUCCGGAUUUACUGGGUGUAAAGGGAGCGCAGGCGGCGCGUUAAGCCUGGUGUGAAAGCCCGCCGCCCAACCACGGGACUGCCUUGGGAACUGUCGCGCUG
Molecule: ribosomal RNA, 294 nt
Filed under: uncultured bacterium
Lineage: Bacteria
Description: partial 16S ribosomal RNA
Rfam family: Bacterial small subunit ribosomal RNA
Source: RNAcentral